GUGAGGACAAACUAUGGUGUGGACUUUGGUGAAUGUCGGCUCAACGUCUCUGCAGCGAGGGAUUGGCCCGAACCUGAGAGACCCAACACAGUCACACAUGAGAGACCCAACAGGGUCAGUUGGGGAAUGAUCUUCCUCUACUGUGGACUGGGACUGACAGCAGCAGUGGUCAUUGUGUGGUUUCCUCAUCACCUUCAUUUAUUCACUGUCUUGUCUAAGAAACAAAGUCCAGUGGAAGAUUUAAGAAAAGUUACAUCUCAGCAGGAUCACUGUGAACAGUUUGAUCAGCGUAGCAGAAGGUUAACUCAUCCAUAAAACACAUCCUGCCUUCAUGUUGUUCAGUAAGUGUCCAUGAUAUAAGAGUCAGAGGAGAUAAACAAUAAUGGAGUUGAUGAAGAAAUGUUGUUUUUCACCUUUGUUGUCCAUUAUUUUGACAGGACUUCUCAUCAGACUCUGUCACUUAUUAGACAGAUCUGAAAUCUGCUCUGUGUUCACUUCACUGAAAUAAUGCUGAGAAACAUGUGGACCUCAUACACCACGUGUAGCAACUCUGUGCACUUUAUAUUGUUAACAUUUCCAUUUCUAGCUCUAUAUGAUGAAUUAGCCCUUAAUAAGAUAUGACAUUAACACUGACAGUAUAUCCUGUAUAUCCUGUACUGGCCUCCUGCAGGAUGUAAAGAAGAAUCAGGUGAAAUUUAGAGCAGAGAACAUUCACUUUGCGUUGUAUGUUUGUUAUGUUCACAUUUCUGUUUUUUUUUUUAUUAUCAAGAUUUUAUUUAUUGUCUAGAUUUUAAGAACAGAUUUAACUUUCCAUGUGGAACUUUAACCUCUUCUUGUUGUAAUGCUGCAGUUCAAACUGAAAUGAAGUGCUGCUGUUUGAUUUGUGUUUGUCCAUUCAACAUCCUUCACUGUCAGAUCUCUAAAUGUCACAGCUGGUUCAGUAAAUCACUGUAUGGAGAGUUUUCACUCUGUGCCUUCUGAACGUUACAGUACACUGCCUCUCCUAAUGUUCUGUUUAUAAUGUGUACAUACUGUAAAUAAAUCUAUAUUUAUAUGA
This is a long non-coding RNA of Acanthopagrus latus (yellowfin seabream), 1057 nucleotides long. RefSeq lists it as uncharacterized. Lineage: Eukaryota; Metazoa; Chordata; Actinopteri; Spariformes; Sparidae. The record is from RefSeq and is a predicted model, not a curated record. The transcript is spliced from 2 exons.